This 876-nucleotide small RNA is filed under the name Drosophila pseudoobscura pseudoobscura. RNAcentral describes it as "GA31422". The record is from RNAcentral. Lineage: Eukaryota; Metazoa; Arthropoda; Insecta; Diptera; Drosophilidae.
AAAUCUUUAGCGCCUAACAGCACAUUCUUUAAUUACAUUUUCUCAAAUCAAAAUAUACAAAAACAAAUUGACAAAAAAGGUAUCAUAAUUCAUAAAAAAGACGCGGCCGACGGACAAUUUGGUUGAUUGACAAGGCAAUGGAGCAAAUAUGCAGAGUUUGCACGGGAAAGUCUAGUGAAUUUACAAACAUAUUUGAGGAGGCACAGAAAUGGGACACUUGCAUUGGUGACAUGAUAGCGCAGUGCACCGGGUACGACGUUAAGCGAGGUGAUUCAUUCCCUGAAAAUAUAUGCCCGCCAUGCCUUAAGGAUGCAGUAAAUGCCUUCAAUCUUAAGCAAACCUAUGAGCAAAGCCAUAAGCUCUACUUCCCAGUGAUGAAGAGGGGUAUACAAGAAGAUCUCUGUGACAACGCUAAAGACGAGCAGGACUGGGAGCUGUCUGAUAGUAUAAAGUGUUUCAAAUGGCUAUCAAGGGGGUAAAAGUAAAGGGGCGGUGUGGUUAAUAGUAAAUAUAGCUUCAGAGAUCGGCUCGACAGACAAUGAUAUUUUAUUUAUUUGUUUUUGCGCCCUAAGAAAACACCCGCGUGUUAAAUUGCUCGAACCGUUUUCCGAAGCCAGAACAAAACAAAACGAAAAAUCUAAAUGAAACGUGGGCGCAAAGAUGAAUUAAAAAAAGAAUAAUGAAAGUUACUCCGAGUUUCAAUCAAUUACAAAAUUGCUUGGCACGCGGAAAAAGUAUUGUUUUUCACGGCUGACACGUCUGUCUUUCUGUUGAACACGAAAAAGAGUGAAAUGAAAAACGAAAGAAAAAAAAAACAUAAAAAAGAACAUGCCUUAGACGUAACGUUUUACGAGCCUAAAUACAAAAAAAAAAAAA